CUGUGAUGAGCAUGAUUGCCUUGCAGUUGGACAAAGACCUGGGCUGAGAGAGGGAGCAGACUGUCUCUACUAUUGUGGAUGAACAUCAUUGUGGCAUGUCAAGGACAUAGUGAACCAGAUUGUCAUGUUGCAGAGAUGUGAUGACUAAUCUGCAUUUCAUGAGUUAAGACCAUUGACACAGAGGGGGAGACUGCCCUUUUAAACCUGUGAACACAUGAAGGAGGAUAAGCAACAACCUUGAUAAGAAGCAACUUCCAAGACCACCUUGACAUGCAUACAUGCUGUCCAGAGUUUCCUGCAGCGCUGCAUUCCUUCUCUUCACAGUGACACAUUUUGGGAAUUAUCCUUAAAUGCUUUCCUGGAGUUCCACUGCCAGAGCUGCAACUGGGGCCCUGAACUUCCCAUGCCAAUGGGUCCUUCAACUCAGAGGAGGCACCAAGGAUGGUGGGGGAGGCCUUUGUCCAAGCUGAGGUCUGGAAAACAUUCAGCUCCUCGCCCACAUACAGGCAC
Cheilinus undulatus (humphead wrasse) is the source of this 510-nucleotide long non-coding RNA. RefSeq lists it as uncharacterized. NCBI's taxonomy places the organism in Eukaryota, Metazoa, Chordata, Actinopteri, Labriformes, Labridae. The transcript has 3 exons. The record is from RefSeq and is a predicted model, not a curated record.